AUAUGUAGGGAGCGAGCGUUGUCCGGAAUUACUGGGUGUAAAGGGAGCGUAGGCGGGAGUGCAAGUCAGAUGUGAAAUACAUGGGCUCAACCCAUGGGCUGCAUUUGAAACUGCAUUUCUUGAGUGAAGUAGAGGUAAGCGGAAUUCCUGGUGUAGCGGUGAAAUGCGUAGAUAUCAGGAGGAACACCGGUGGCGAAGGCGGCUUACUGGGCUUUUACUGACGCUGAGGCUCGAAAGCGUGGGGAGCAAACAGGAUUAGAUACCCUGGUAGUCCACGCUGUAAACGAUGAUUACUAGGUGUGGGGGGACUGACCCCUUCCGUGCCGCAGUUAACACAAUAAGUAAUCCACCUGGGGAGUACGGCCGCAAGGUUGAAACUCAAAUGAAUUGACGGGG
RNAcentral lists this ribosomal RNA (396 nucleotides) under uncultured bacterium. RNAcentral's name for it is "partial 16S ribosomal RNA". It matches the Rfam family "Bacterial small subunit ribosomal RNA", at positions 523 to 918 of the family's 1533-position model. The record is from RNAcentral.